GUGUCAGCCGCCGCGGUAAUACGGAGGGGGCCAGCGUUGCUCGGAAUCACUGGGCGUAAAGGGCUCGUAGGCGGUUUGAUAAGUCCUGUGUGAAAUCCCUUGGCUCAACCAAGGAAUGGCGCAGGAUACUGUCAUACUUGAGGCCGGGAGAGGGAAGCGGAAUUCCCAGUGUAGCGGUGAAAUGCGUAGAUAUUGGGAGGAACACCGGUGGCGAAGGCGGCUUCCUGGACCGGUUCUGACGCUCAAGAGCGAAAGCCAGGGGAGCAAACAGGAUUAGAAACCCUCGUAGUCC
This 292-nucleotide ribosomal RNA is filed under the name uncultured bacterium. RNAcentral's name for it is "partial 16S ribosomal RNA". It matches the Rfam family "Bacterial small subunit ribosomal RNA", at positions 505 to 796 of the family's 1533-position model. The record is from RNAcentral.